Molecule: long non-coding RNA, 665 nt
Organism: Gallus gallus (chicken)
Lineage: Eukaryota; Metazoa; Chordata; Aves; Galliformes; Phasianidae
Exons: 2
Source: RefSeq, a predicted model, not a curated record
GGCCGCUUUCAGAAGCGAAACCGUGCCUGUACGCAGGGCUGGGACGUGGGGCAGCGCCCGGCCCCGCUGCAGGGGAGCUCUUCAACGCGUGUGCUCUGCCCACUGCCAACGGAGGCGUCCUCAGAAGUGGAGAUCCUGCCAGCAAGCGCAGGGUGAGAGCCAGCUCACUCAGGUUUGCUUCUCAGAACGCCCGUGAAAAGGCUGUGGAUGUGCGUGGAGAUGCAUACAUGUACAGUUAUCAUCUGAGUUUCUGUAACUGCUUUCUGCCCUCUUCCGUUUGUAUCUCCCCCCCGAGUUUGUCUACAGCUCUCUCCCCCAUGGCACUCUGCGGGGCCGGGGCGCAGUGAGCGAACGGCCGGGUGCUGCUCAGCUGCCUGCCGGGUGAAACCACAGCGCGUGGCAGCGUGCCUGCACCUGUGUGCCUGUGGGGACACGCGGCCCUCCUUGUCCUUCCACUGCAGCGCAGCGCUCACGGGAGCCAUCCCACCUCACCUCUGUCAGCUGCUGUCACUGUGGGCAGCGCCCAGAGCCCAUGGGGAUGUCUCUGAAAUCCAGCUUUGCCCCACAGCCCCGGGGGAUGGCUGACGGACUCAGGCGGAGGAGCCAAGAAUGCAAGUGAGUUUCUGCAGAGUUCUGGGCUUUUAAUAAACAGGAGAUACUCAUAA